This is a long non-coding RNA of Cyprinus carpio (common carp), 364 nucleotides long. NCBI's taxonomy places the organism in Eukaryota, Metazoa, Chordata, Actinopteri, Cypriniformes, Cyprinidae. The record is from Ensembl.
ACCCCAGUUUGUUUAUUAGUAUUUUAUUAUUAUUUUUAUUCAGUUCUUGUUUUAGUUCUUGUUGUUGUUGUUUAAAUGCUUUGUAGAGUACUUGCACAGCAACUACAUCCUGGGCUGUGGAAAGAGUAUGGACGUGAUGAUCUCAACGGUGCUCCAAGUCAGAAUUGGUCAAAUAACUGUGGAGUGUUUGUGUUGAUGUACACACUCAAUGUUGUAAUGGGAGGCGUCUUUGAUUUUGCUGAUUCUGACAUGGCUGCAGUAAGGAGAUGGUGGUGCUUGCCCUGCUAACAAAUUAUCAUGUGAAGUAAGCCUAUUUCCAAGUUUUUCCAAUAAAUAAAACAUAUUUAUUAAUAGUAGUGGGUGA